RNAcentral lists this microRNA precursor (67 nucleotides) under Caenorhabditis elegans. RNAcentral's name for it is "Cel-Mir-76_pre stem-loop". Lineage: Eukaryota; Metazoa; Nematoda; Chromadorea; Rhabditida; Rhabditidae. The record is from RNAcentral.
UGGGCUUCACAAUAGUCGAAUACCUUAAAUUUCAAAAUUUGGAUAUUCGUUGUUGAUGAAGCCUUGA